RNAcentral lists this ribosomal RNA (813 nucleotides) under uncultured bacterium. RNAcentral describes it as "bacterial SSU rRNA". It matches the Rfam family "Bacterial small subunit ribosomal RNA", at positions 8 to 796 of the family's 1533-position model. The record is from RNAcentral.
AGAGUUUGAUCAUGGCUCAGAACGAACGCUGGCGGCGUGCCUAACACAUGCAAGUCGUGCGAGAAAGUUCCUUCGGGGACGAGUAAAGCGGCGCACGGGUGAGUAACACGUAGGUAAUCUGCCCUCGAGCUCGGAAUAACCUACCGAAAGGUGGGCUAAUACCGGAUAUGACCACGGGAGUUUCGGCUUCUGCGGUGAAAGGUGGCCUCUACUUGUAAGCUACCACUCAAGGAUGAGCCUGCGUACCAUUAGCUAGUUGGUGGGGUAAUGGCCCACCAAGGCUGUGAUGGUUAGCUGGUCUGAGAGGAUGGCCAGCCACACUGGGACUGAAACACGGCCCAGACUCCUACGGGAGGCAGCAGUGGGAGAUAUUGCGCAAUGGGCGAAAGCCUGACGCAGCGACGCCGCGUGGGUGAUGAAGGCCUUCGGGUCGUAAAGCCCUGUCGAGGGGGAAGAAUCGGUUGCGACCUAACACGUCGUAGCCCUGACGGUACCCCUAAAGGAAGCACCGGCUAACUCCGUGCCAGCAGCCGCGGUAAUACGCAGGGUGCGAGCGUUGUUCGGAAUCACUGGGCGUAAAGCGCGUGUAGGCGGCCCACUAAGUCUGAUGUGAAAGCCCGGGGCUCACCCCCCGGAAGUGCAUUGGAAACUGGUGGACUCGAGUCCCGGAGAGGAGAGUGGAAUUCCUGGUGUAGCGGUGAAAUGCGUAGAUAUCAGGAGGAACACCGGUGGCGAAGGCGGCUCUCUGGACGGUGACUGACGCUGAGACGCGAAAGCGUGGGGAGCAAACAGGAUUAGAUACCCUAGUAGUCC